This 205-nucleotide microRNA precursor is filed under the name Oryza glumipatula. RNAcentral describes it as "MIR812 microRNA precursor family". It matches the Rfam family "MIR812 microRNA precursor family". Lineage: Eukaryota; Viridiplantae; Streptophyta; Magnoliopsida; Poales; Poaceae. The record is from Rfam by way of RNAcentral.
AAAAAGACAAACCGUGGGUUCCCGUGCCAACGUUUGACUGUCCGUCUUAUAUGAAAUUUUUUUAUAAUUAAUAUUUUUAUUGUUGUUAGAUGAUAAAACAUGAUUAAUACUUUAUGCAUGACUUAUCUUUUUAUUUUUUUUCAUAAUUUUUUCAAAUAAGACGGACGGUCAAACGUUGGACAUGGAAAUCAGGGUUUGUCUUUUU